GCCAAAAUAAACUUUACAUGUUAGAUUGCUGGCAGCAAUUUCGUCAAACGAUUUACAUAGCAAUUAGAACAUACCUUCAUCUUCUGUGGUUUUCUUUGCUAUAUACUAAAGCAUCUCAAUUACUGACUAUCAGAACACUUAAGUUGUACAUGAACUACAGCAUAUUAACAAAAAGCACCAUUUAGCCUGUCCCAAAUAGCACUCUCUACAACACACAUAAUUUUUUAAGUCGUACUUGUUUCUAUGCACAUGAAAGAGGCUAUUCUAUAGUACAUUUCAAAUAAAAUUUUCCUUUUACAAAUUUAAUUCCUCCUUUCCAUAGAUACGCUGAAGCUCACGUGUUGCUGCUUGAAAUGAUUCUUUCCAUGUGCGGAAGGAUUUCUGAUUGAUAGGUGCUCCAAAAACAGUUUGAAUUACAUCAAAUAACAUGCUUUCAGGAGUGCUCCUCAAUUCUUGUACAAUCUGAUAAAUAGUCUUUCCAUUAUCAAAGUAUAUAUGAUUGUUUGGAUGCUUAGUCUUGCAACCAGCAUGGCGUUCAAACUCAUAUGCAUUGAGCACCUUGGAGGAAUUACAUGAUUGACAACUACAGAGAUACCCAGAACCUUUUAUAAUGCCACGAAGCUCCUUAUUACAUUCAGCAAAUAAUGUCAGUAAAUAAAAAAUUCAGACAAACGAAUAAAUGGCAAAAUGAGAAAAAAAAAAUACAAAAGGGUACUUACCUCCCUUGACAAAGAAACAUACUUUACAGGGACCCCAUCCAGCAUACCAGUUGAAAUCAAACUUCUGACAUUUGAAGGAAAGCUGUUUGGAGCUUCUCUUCGAGUAGUUUUGACUUCUUGUUUGUUCCUGGAAACAGAUUCAGGUUUUGACUUAGCUACUUGGGUGUUACUAGCAGCUGCAUUGGCAUUUGACAUAUCCAACUCUUUUUCAUGAAUUGCUUCAGGUGUUUGAACUAAGGAUUGAUUGUAGGACUGUUCAUAACUGCUGAUGGGCCUGCCAACAGGUAUAAUACCACGUGCAUUAUGAAAUCCCCCGAAAGAAAUCAUAUUGGCAUCUUCUUUAUUGUAGGUUUCACUUAUAGGAAUGGAAUUGUCAUCUGGCAUGGAAUUGUCAUCUCCUUUUAUAUAUGCAGUACAUGUUGAUACAAUAUGGGCAUCUCUAUUGUAGCUGUGACCCAUUAGAGUAACAUUGCCGUGCUCCUUAUCAUAGGCCUGCCCCAUUGAUAUAAAACUAUUUUCAUUUUCCCUAUUAAAGGCAUGACCUGUAGAGAUAUCACUGUUACUCUCAUUGAUAAAACUGUGCCCCUUAGGAUCAUGCACACCAUUGUUAGAAUCCUUAACUUGAUUGACUUUAACUUUUCUAAAACCAUUGCAACUAAGACAGGCUUCCGGAUCUUCCAAAGUGUGAGAUAUAGACAGACUAACAGAUGCAUUUGAGUCAUCUGUUACAGGACACAUGGUUCUUUCAGAAAAAUCGACAGAUCUUGCUGUUUCAGGUCCAAACAAAUGGUAAAUAAAUUGAUUUGGAACUGACUGAAAACCAGAGGGGUUGUCCAAAGAAGAAAUAUUUGCACAGGAAAUUUGCGAACUUGAUGUGCUGUUUGGUGUUUGCCGUGCUUGCUUCUUGUUUGGGAACAGCUCAGGUUCAGCUGCAUUUACAAACCACUGAUGAGAUCGUUUAGGUUCAAUUCUUGAAGGACUAUCAAAUGGGGGAUCUCCAUCAGCACCCUUUGCCAUCCACAAACCCUUAUUCUGAAAAGACAUUUUUAUUCUCCACAGUUUCUAUUCCUCUUUAUGAUAGUAGUGAUCUUCAAACACUACCUGCUUUUCUGAUGACCGAUAAACUGAGAGGAUCACCGGUAGCCGUGAGUAGAGCGGUGAAUUUAUCAGUCGAGCGGCACCAACGGCGAAAAUUGAGCGAGAAAACAGUUGGGAUAUUGUGUGAG
RNAcentral lists this unclassified non-coding RNA (1945 nucleotides) under Hevea brasiliensis (rubber tree). Lineage: Eukaryota; Viridiplantae; Streptophyta; Magnoliopsida; Malpighiales; Euphorbiaceae. The record is from RNAcentral.